Molecule: ribosomal RNA, 468 nt
Filed under: uncultured bacterium
Lineage: Bacteria
Description: partial 16S ribosomal RNA
Rfam family: Bacterial small subunit ribosomal RNA
Source: RNAcentral
GACGAACGCUGGCGGCGUGCUUAACACAUGCAAGUCGAACGGAAAGGCCCUGCUUUUGUGGUGUGCUCGAGUGGCGAACGGGUGAGUAACACGUGAGUAACCUGCUCUUGACUUUGGUAUAACUUCAGGAAACUGGGUCUAAUACCGUAUAGGACCUCCUGCUGCAUGGGGGGGGCUGGAAAUUUUGGGGGGUGGGGGGUGCCCUGGCGGCUUAUCAGCUUGUUGGGGGGUUAGCUGCUUACCAAGGUUUUGACGGGUAGCCGGACUGAGUGGGUGACAAGCCACAUUGGCACUGAGAUGAGGCAGAGACUGAUAAGAGAGGCCGCAGUGGGGAAUCGUGCACAAGGGGCGGAAGCGAUGUGGAGAAGCGCCGCGUGGGGGAUAACGGUUUUCGGGGUGAAAACCGCUUUCGAGUGUGACGCAGCGUGAGUGACGGUAAUUGGUAAAGAAGCACCGGCUAACUACGUG